GACGAACCGUGCGAACGUUAUUCGGAAUCACUGGGCUUAAAGCGUGUGUAGGCGGAUCGUUAAGUGCCUUGUGAAAUCCCACGGCUCAACCGUGGAACUGCUUGGCAUACUGGCGGUCUUGAGCCACUUAGGGGCUACCGGAACAAAUGGUGGAGCGGUGAAAUGCGUAGAUAUCAUUUGGAACGCCAAUGGUGAAAACAGGUAGCUGGGAGUGUGCUGACGCUGAGACACGAAAGCCAGGGGAGCGAACGGG
Molecule: ribosomal RNA, 253 nt
Filed under: uncultured bacterium
Lineage: Bacteria
Description: partial 16S ribosomal RNA
Rfam family: Bacterial small subunit ribosomal RNA
Source: RNAcentral